CAGUCGCCGCGGGAAUACGAAGGGUGCAAGCGUUAAUCGGAAUUACUGGGCGCAAAGCGUGCGUAGGCGGUGAGUUAAGUCUGUUGUGAAAUCCCCGAGCUCAACCUGGGAAUGGCAGUGGAUACUGGCUCGCUAGAGUGUGUCAGAGGAUGGUGGAAUUCCCGGUGUAGCGGUGAAAUGCGUAGAGAUCGGGAGGAACAUCAGUGGCGAAGGCGGCCAUCUGGGACAACACUGACGCUGAGGCACGAAAGCGUGGGGAGCAAACAGGAUUAGAUACCCCCGUAGUCCCUGUCUCUUAUAC
RNAcentral lists this ribosomal RNA (301 nucleotides) under uncultured bacterium. RNAcentral describes it as "partial 16S ribosomal RNA". It matches the Rfam family "Bacterial small subunit ribosomal RNA", at positions 509 to 807 of the family's 1533-position model. The record is from RNAcentral.